Long non-coding RNA from Gallus gallus (chicken), 2228 nucleotides. The record is from Ensembl. NCBI's taxonomy places the organism in Eukaryota, Metazoa, Chordata, Aves, Galliformes, Phasianidae.
AAAUCCAGUCACAGUAGUAGGCAAGAGCUGUCUCUGUAUUUUUCCUGUGUCCUGGUUAAUGAGCCCUUCUGACUGUGGAACUUUGGAGAAACAGUUGAGUUGCUCUACAAGAAGCUGUCUGUACCCUGCAAAGAUGGUACUUAGGCAGAACUAAUAAGCUUUGCUGAAAUGAAGAUGACUGCAUGUACUAGGAUGUCUCUCCACCUCAUUCCACAGAAAAUGGAGAAUUCAAAGAAGGUCACUGAAGAGCAGACUGAGCACUGUCUACAAUUCUGCUGCUGUACUUAAGAAUACAAAAGUCAUGGGAGUAUGAAGAGAGAACACAAGGAAAAUCCUGUACAUAAUGUAAAUUAAAUGGCUGAAAAUAAAAAUAUUGGAUGGAAAAAAUGGAAGGUGAACACAGACUGUGAGAUAAGAAGUUGGCUGAUGUGUGAGGACAUAAAAAAUGGUUUGCAUGGACGCACUUCUCAAGUUUGACCAAGUCCCUUUGAAUUACAUCCCCUAAAGUAGGUUAUGAUAUAAGCUUUUACUGAGCCCAUGGAACCUCACCUACACAGGAGUUCUUUGCUACGUGUAGAUGCCUUUGAUAAGGAGUGUGAUUGCAUGUAUGAAGGAGUAUGGAAAGAAAAAUUGUGACAACAUUAAAAAGUGUGCUUUUUAUUUUCUUUCAAUAUGACCCAUGUUCUAAAAAAUAGUUAACAAGAAUAUUACACUGUAAUUAUAAUUGGAAUUAAUAUUGAAAAUUCGUGUGCAGAAGUCUUAAAAAUGGAUGAUGUGAGCAAAUCACCAUCCAAGUUGUGAAUUUCAUAAAAUCCAAGGGAUUGAAUAACUACCAAUUCCUGGAGUUCCUUAAAAGUAUGGAUGUUGAAUAUGGGCACAUCAUCUACUUUUCUGAAGUAAUGUGCCAGACCAUUUCACCACCAACUUUUCUUAGGCAAGAGAUGACCACAGUACUGGUUGCUUUCUGGUCUAUGCUAGCUUAUGGAGAAAAUGGCACAUUGCUCAUCAUCUGAGGAUGUACUGAGCCAACCUAACUACAGUGCUGAACUGAAUUAAACAAUAUUUUGGAGGAACGAACAUGUAGACCAAAACCACAAACAUCAUAAGAACAAUUUAUGGUUGCCUGGCAAAAUUUAGAAAUUGGACAAAGUCUUCGUGUGGAUAUCAGAAGGAAAAGUAAUAAGGUCAAGGUCCCUUCGUACAGAGGAGAAAUUAAACCCUGUCUUGGAUGAGUGUCCCAGGCUCUAAACCCUUAGCUUAAAGGACACUGACAACUCCUUUGGCUUUCUCAUUGAGGAAAAUGCAUAGAUGCUGCUUAUAGGAAGACACACGAGAAGUGGCUGAAGUGCCCUGGUUUGUUCAACUUAGAAGAGACUGAAGAGAAACCUAAUUAUGGCUUCCUCACAACGGGGAGCAGGAAGGCAGGUGUUCUUUUCCUCUCUGUUUACCAGCAAUGGAACCUAACAGAAUGUCAUGAAGCUAAGAUAAGAGAGGUUCAGGCUGGAUAUCAGGAAAAGGUUCUUCACUGAGAGAGUGGUCAGGCACUGGAAUAGGCUCCCCAGGAAAGCAAUCAUGGCACUUCCUGGAGCUCAGGAAGCAUCUGGGCAAUGCCCUCAGACAUUGUCAUAGUUUUGUAAUUUUCCUAUUGGUAUUCCACAUCAUAACAUCAUGUACAGCACUGAUACUUAAAGAGUUAAUACUCCAGUUCCGUGGAUUGACAACCUUCCAGAUAAUUGCUUCUCAAAAGAGAAGAAGAACUACAUGUCCCAGAGGACCUCACAGUCAGAGAAGGAAGAUACAUCACGGAAGUCAUGGGAUCUGUCUCUUUUGGCCCUCUCUCUCUCUGGCAGCCAGACAGAGGGGUAGGUGUGCUUCCAAGCCAUGCACCUUCAUUCAAGUGGGCCUUUUGGUUUCGGAAACUUUCUCUUAUUUUACUUGAUUUAUUACCUUUAAUUUCAAUUAGAUUGUAUCAUAUUGUGUUAUCUUGCAUUCCGAUAUCAGUUAGUAAAAUAAGUUUUCCUCCUUAGAUCAUUGCUGCUGUUCCUUUCUUAUUCCCCCUCUGAGCCCAGCACUUGUUCCCCUACCCCUUUCCCUUUUCCCUUCCCAUUUUUGGGAGCCAGGGGGCCUACAGGCCUACUGCCCCCCCGUCAUGAGCAUAGAUUGAUCUCGAUAACUCCGUGACAGUUUUUGGUGGAGAAUGCGGGCAUUCCAAAGCUUUUAAGAUUAGC